This 408-nucleotide ribosomal RNA is filed under the name uncultured bacterium. RNAcentral's name for it is "partial 16S ribosomal RNA". It matches the Rfam family "Bacterial small subunit ribosomal RNA", at positions 28 to 526 of the family's 1533-position model. The record is from RNAcentral.
GACGAACGCUGGCGGCGUGCUUAACACAUGCAAGUCGAACGAAGUGGCGAACGGGUGAGUAAAGCGUAGUCAACCUGCCCUUCAGAGGGGGACAACAGUUGGAAACGACUGCUAAUACCGCAUACUGAAGGAGGGGAUGGCGUCUGAUAAGGUAGUUGGAGGGGUAAAGGCCCACCAAGGGUAUGAUCAGUAGCCGGUCUGAGAGGAUGAACGGCCACAGUGGGACUGAGACACGGCUCAGACUCCUUAGGGAGGCAGCAGGGGGGAAGCUUCCGAAAUGGACGAAAGUCUGACGGAGCAACGCCGCGUUAGUGAUGACGGCCUUCGGGUUGUAAAGCUCUGUUAAUCGGGACGCGGUACCGGAAUAGAAAGCCACGGCUAACUACGUGCCAGCAGCCGCGGUAAUAC